This is a non-coding RNA of Phascolarctos cinereus (koala), 857 nucleotides long. The record is from RefSeq and is a predicted model, not a curated record. Lineage: Eukaryota; Metazoa; Chordata; Mammalia; Diprotodontia; Phascolarctidae.
GUGAGGAGUCAGGGAGUCAAACACACAAUUUUCAAUGUUCAGUGUAAACUGGUCUCUGCAGAACUUCCAAGAGGUUAGGAGACAGCCCAAGCUCAGAAAGAUGGGCUGGCUUUGGGUGAAGUGCCUAACUGGUCCAAGUAGUGUAAUCAGAGAAAACCCCAUGCUAAUACUGAGAUAAAUCGAUUCAGGACAUAAUUUAAAGCAGUAGGCGAUCAGUAGUUAUCCAUCUAUUCCUCUGGGCCUCAAAGAGAGGCAAUUCUUUCUUUAACUAGGAAGGACUGUGACCUCUUCAAAAAGGGGGACCUGAAUGUAAACACCUACAGGUUCCCAAAGGAUUUUUGAUUUUUUUUAUGGAAAGAUUUGGGGAGGUGGUCCUGGUUAUAUCGUCUAUGUAUUGAAAGCAGGAUCUCUGAUAUAAAAAUUAUAGCCAAAGGUUUUAUAAUUGAAGAGACUGAUCAAGAGAAAUCACAACUACACACACACACACACACACACACACACAUCUACAUGGAUGUGUAUUAUGUAUCAUGGAGUGAGGGUCCUGAAGGGAGGAAAACAUAAAGACAGUCUUAAUUUCAGCAUCAUAAAUACAAAAGUAGCAAGAGUCUCUUCUAAGGCGUUAAGAAGAAAUGAGAUCGGGGUUUUCUGGCUUCCAGCACAUUAGGUAUCAGUGGCCCUUCUGUGCUUAAAAGGGAAGUCAUUCAUCAAACAUCUGGAACUGGAAUCCUCAAGGAAGAUGCUGUCUCUGCAACACAGUGAUGAUGUUACUGCCUUCUAGUACUUGCUGCCUCAAACAAAACUCCAAUUGACUUCAAGGCCCCACAGUUUUGGAUCAUCUCAAACCUACUGCUAUUCAG